RNAcentral lists this ribosomal RNA (496 nucleotides) under uncultured bacterium. RNAcentral's name for it is "partial 16S ribosomal RNA". It matches the Rfam family "Bacterial small subunit ribosomal RNA", at positions 29 to 507 of the family's 1533-position model. The record is from RNAcentral.
AUGAACGCUGGCGGCGUGCCUAAUACAUGCAAGUCGAGCGAACAGAUGAGGAGCUUGCUCCUCUGACGUUAGCGGCGGACGGGUGAGUAACACGUGGAUAACCUACCUAUAAGACUGGGAUAACUUCGGGAAACCGGAGCUAAUACCGGAUAAUAUAUUGAACCGCAUGGUUCAAUAGUGAAAGACGGUUUUGCUGUCACUUAUAGAUGGAUCCGCGCCGCAUUAGCUAGUUGGUAAGGUAACGGCUUACCAAGGCGACGAUGCGUAGCCGACCUGAGAGGGUGAUCGGCCACACUGGAACUGAGACACGGUCCAGACUCCUACGGGAGGCAGCAGUAGGGAAUCUUCCGCAAUGGGCGAAAGCCUGACGGAGCAACGCCGCGUGAGUGAUGAAGGUCUUCGGAUCGUAAAACUCUGUUAUUAGGGAAGAACAAAUGUGUAAGUAACUAUGCACGUCUUAACGGUACCUAAUCAGAAAGCCACGGCUAACUACGUG